Long non-coding RNA from Symphalangus syndactylus (siamang), 1589 nucleotides. RefSeq lists it as uncharacterized. Lineage: Eukaryota; Metazoa; Chordata; Mammalia; Primates; Hylobatidae. The record is from RefSeq and is a predicted model, not a curated record.
CCUCAAGUUCGGCCAUCUUGCUCUCAGAGAUCUAGAACUGGUAGGAAAAUAUAGCCUUGAUAGUGGAGAGGAGACUAUUGCUGUUGUGAAGGACUCAGAGAACCAGGCAGAGAGCCCAGAUUGACACAGCAGGACUCAGUCAAAAUUUUGGGCCAAGGAGACAGACGCGCUGUCGCCUGCACUAAGAGAAACGCAACGAACAACUUUAUCAAUGCAUUGCAUUACUAUAUACUAUAGCAGCAACUAUACUUUUAAAUGAUUCGAAUCUUGGAGUUUCAAACUGAACCGUCCUGCCCGGCGGGCAUUUCUGCGAAGACCGCGGGUCACCUUCUGAAUUUUUACCUUCAUAAACAGCAACGACUGCGCUCUCUCGCACGGCGCCCCGUUUUUUCGUAGCGUUCCCUCGGCCAAAACCACUUGAAACUCGCUCAGCGGCGUCGGGGCUCCAGCCGGGCGUCACCUUCCACGGCGAACCUGCGACCCACAGCGUCCCCUGGGGCUUUCGGUCCGCGUGGCCGCUUCCUCAUACAUCGGUGACACAAGGCAAGGGCAUCUAGGAUCCGCCGGUUUCCUUCCUCACUGCUCCCAUCAGUGCGAAAGCAACGUGUUGGGGGGUCGGGGUGUGUGGCGGCUGAACAGCUGCCUGAAGUUCUCUGAUGGCGCUGGAGGGAGCUCCAGAGAAAAGGUCAUGGGGAGAACACACACCUUAAAACGCCGUAGGGGGCGACAUUCCCUAAUGGGAAAAAAGACAGCUUAAACGCCGUAGGGGGCGACAUUCUCUACUAGGGAAAAUGCGUAAGAACAUACUUAGAACCCAUGGUAGCGUGGCCAAGCGGUCUAAGGCGCUGAAUUAAGGCUCCAGUCUCUUCGGGGGCGUGGGUUCGAAUCCCACCGCUGCCAAGGACUUUUCAUCCUCACUAGGGACUGUUUUUAGGAGAAUCCCUUUCCAAAUGUUCAAUAUGAAUGGUUCUUACGUAUUAAUCCCAUUCUUCUCCUCUUUGACUUCUGUUUACCAUGGAACCAGAGAUAACCAUCCCCAGAACAAUGUUCUCCCAUUAUUUGGAGGACAGUGUACCCCAGGCGCCUCAGAUACAGCAAUGAGUGACACAAGCAAAAAAAAACUUUAAUAGCACAUACUUAGUGCAGUGGCACCAUCUCGGCUCACUGUAACCUCUGCCUCCCCAGUUCAAGCGAUUCUCCUGCCUCAGUCUCCCGAGUGGCUGGGAUUACAGGCGCGCGCCACCACGCCCUGGCUAAUUUUUGUAUUUUUAGUAGAGACAGGGUUUGGCCAUGUUGGUCAGGCUGGUCUCGAACUCCUGGCCUCAAGUGAUCCUCCCUCCUCCGCCUCCCAAAGUGCUGGGAUUACAGGCGUGGGCCACCGCGCGCAGCCCGAGGGAUUAAUUUAUGUUUGGAAUCAGCUGCUGUUCUUCCUCCAGCCUCUCUGUAGUGUGCUCACUUCACACUUGGAACCAUAGUUAUAUGGACUAGAGAAGAAACAACUCUAGGGAAAGUGCCAGUGCCUUGCCUUACAACUGCCAGACACACCCAGCCAGGUGGCUAUAGAAUUUCUGACCCUGAAAAUCCACCAC